This 279-nucleotide ribosomal RNA is filed under the name uncultured bacterium. RNAcentral's name for it is "partial 16S ribosomal RNA". It matches the Rfam family "Bacterial small subunit ribosomal RNA", at positions 506 to 784 of the family's 1533-position model. The record is from RNAcentral.
UGCCAGCCGCCGCGGUAAUACGAAAGGUGCAAGCGUUGUUCGGAUUUACUGGGCGUAAAGCGAGUGUAGAUUGUUUGUUAAGUCGGAUGUGAAAUCCCGGGGCUCAACCUCGGAACUGCAUUCGAUACUGGCAGGCUAGAGUUCGGGAGGGGUAAGCGGAAUUCCGUGUGUAGCAGUGAAAUGCGUAGAUAUACGGAGCAACACCUGAGGCGAAGGCGGCUUACUUGACCGAUACUGACGCUGAGGUGCGAAAGCGUGGGGAGCAAACAGGAUUAGAUA